GGGUGAUGAAACUACUCAAUUGCUGGAAUUACCGUCAGAUUGAACAGUGUUGAGCAAUGGUUCUCUGAUC
Carcharodon carcharias (great white shark) is the source of this 70-nucleotide small nucleolar RNA. NCBI's taxonomy places the organism in Eukaryota, Metazoa, Chordata, Chondrichthyes, Lamniformes, Lamnidae. The record is from RefSeq and is a predicted model, not a curated record.